UCGAGCGGACAGAUGGGAGCUUGCUCCCUGAUGUUAGCGGCGGACGGGUGAGUAACACGUGGGUAACCUGCCUGUAAGACUGGGAUAACUCCGGGAAACCGGGGCUAAUACCGGAUGGUUGUUUGAACCGCAUGGUUCAAACAUAAAAGGUGGCUUCGGCUACCACUUACAGAUGGACCCGCGGCGCAUUAGCUAGUUGGUGAGGUAACGGCUCACCAAGGCAACGAUGCGUAGCCGACCUGAGAGGGUGAUCGGCCACACUGGGACUGAGACACGGCCCAGACUCCUACGGGAGGCAGCAGUAGGGAAUCUUCCGCAAUGGACGAAAGUCUGACGGAGCAACGCCGCGUGAGUGAUGAAGGUUUUCGGAUCGUAAAGCUCUGUUGUUAGGGAAGAACAAGUACCGUUCGAAUAGGGCGGUACCUUGACGGUACCUAACCAGAAAGCCACGGCUAACUACGUGCCAGCAGCCGCGGUAAUACGUAGGUGGCAAGCGUUGUCCGGAAUUAUUGGGCGUAAAGGGCUCGCAGGCGGUUUCUUAAGUCUGAUGUGAAAGCCCCCGGCUCAACCGGGGAGGGUCAUUGGAAACUGGGGAACUUGAGUGCAGAAGAGGAGAGUGGAAUUCCACGUGUAGCGGUGAAAUGCGUAGAGAUGUGGAGGAACACCAGUGGCGAAGGCGACUCUCUGGUCUGUAACUGACGCUGAGGAGCGAAAGCGUGGGGAGCGAACAGGAUUAGAUACCCUGGUAGUCCACGCCGUAAACGAUGAGUGCUAAGUGUUAGGGGGUUUCCGCCCCUUAGUGCUGCAGCUAACGCAUUAAGCACUCCGCCUGGGGAGUACGGUCGCAAGACUGAAACUCAAAGGAAUUGACGGGGGCCCGCACAAGCGGUGGAGCAUGUGGUUAAUUCGAAGCAACGCGAAGAACCUUACCAGGUCUUGACAUCCUCUGACAAUCCUAGAGAUAGGACGUCCCCUUCGGGGGCAGAGUGACAGGUGGUGCAUGGUUGUCGUCAGCUCGUGUCGUGAGAUGUUGGGUUAAGUCCCGCAACGAGCGCAACCCUUGAUCUUAGUUGCCAGCAUUCAGUUGGGCACUCUAAGGUGACUGCCGGUGACAAACCGGAGGAAGGUGGGGAUGACGUCAAAUCAUCAUGCCCCUUAUGACCUGGGCUACACACGUGCUACAAUGGACAGAACAAAGGGCAGCGAAACCGCGAGGUUAAGCCAAUCCCACAAAUCUGUUCUCAGUUCGGAUCGCAGUCUGCAACUCGACUGCGUGAAGCUGGAAUCGCUAGUAAUCGCGGAUCAGCAUGCCGCGGUGAAUACGUUCCCGGGCCUUGUACACACCGCCCGUCACACCACGAGAGUUUGUAACACCCGAAGUCGGUGAGGUA
This 1391-nucleotide ribosomal RNA is filed under the name Bacillus licheniformis. RNAcentral's name for it is "bacterial SSU rRNA". It matches the Rfam family "Bacterial small subunit ribosomal RNA", at positions 62 to 1437 of the family's 1533-position model. Lineage: Bacteria; Bacillati; Bacillota; Bacilli; Caryophanales; Bacillaceae. The record is from RNAcentral.